GACGAACGCUGGCGGCGUGCUUAACACAUGCAAGUCGAACGGAAAGGCCCUGCUUUUGUGGGGUGCUCGAGUGGCGAACGGGUGAGUAACACGUGAGUAACCUGCCCUUGACUUUGGGAUAACUUCAGGAAACUGGGGCUAAUACCGGAUAGGAGCUCCUGCUGCAUGGUGGGGGUUGGAAAGUUUCGGCGGGUGGGGAUGGACUCGCGGCUUAUGAGCUUGUUGGUGGGGUAGUGGCUUACCAAGGCUUUGACGGGUAGCCGGCCUGAGAGGGUGACCGGCCACAUUGGGACUGAGAUACGGCCCAGACUCCUACGGGAGGCAGCAGUGGGGAAUAUUGCCCAAUGGGCGGAAGCCUGAUGCAGCAACGCCGCGUGCGGGAUGACGGCCUUCGGGUUGUAAACCGCUUUCGCCUGUGACGAAGCGUGAGUGACGGUAAUGGGUAAAGAAGCACCGGCUAACUACGUG
This 468-nucleotide ribosomal RNA is filed under the name uncultured bacterium. RNAcentral describes it as "partial 16S ribosomal RNA". It matches the Rfam family "Bacterial small subunit ribosomal RNA", at positions 28 to 507 of the family's 1533-position model. The record is from RNAcentral.